RNAcentral lists this ribosomal RNA (526 nucleotides) under uncultured bacterium. Its description in RNAcentral is "bacterial SSU rRNA". It matches the Rfam family "Bacterial small subunit ribosomal RNA", at positions 972 to 1502 of the family's 1533-position model. The record is from RNAcentral.
UACCUACCCUUGACAUGUCUGGAAUGCCGAAGAGAUUUGGCAGUGCUCGCAAGAGAACCGGAACACAGGUGCUGCAUGGCUGUCGUCAGCUCGUGUCGUGAGAUGUUGGGUUAAGUCCCGCAACGAGCGCAACCCUUGUCAUUAGUUGCUACGCAAGAGCACUCUAAUGAGACUGCCGGUGACAAACCGGAGGAAGGUGGGGAUGACGUCAAGUCCUCAUGGCCCUUAUGGGUAGGGCUUCACACGUCAUACAAUGGUCGGGACAGAGGGUCGCCAACCCGCGAGGGGGAGCCAAUCUCAGAAACCCGAUCGUAGUCCGGAUCGCAGUCUGCAACUCGACUGCGUGAAGUCGGAAUCGCUAGUAAUCGCGGAUCAGAAUGUCGCGGUGAAUACGUUCCCGGGUCUUGUACACACCGCCCGUCACACCAUGGGAGUGGGUUUCACCAGAAGUAGGUAGCCUAACCGUAAGGAGGGCGCUUACCACGGUGGGAUUCAUGACUGGGGUGAAGUCGUAACAAGGUAACCG